ACACAACAAAGAAGUCCUUCCCGCAAUCAGAAAAAGAGCAGUUUUCAUUUGCCAUUGACAUGUGCCCACUGCAUGGUGUCAGUGGCCAUUGAGAAAAGUUGGCCAGGUGGAGCUAUGUGAGACUGAAUUCUUUGGGGGGAGAGGAGGAAAACUGGAUUACUCCAGUAUGAAGUGCUUCCCAGCAAUCCUAUGGAGACAGCCGGCUCCUUGUUAACCCCUCCGGUUCUGAAUCAGCCCAGAGGCAGAGGACCGCGUGCUUGGAAGACUGCGUCUGACUUUUGUGUUAGCAAGUCUCAGCAGAUGGUCUUCCUGCUCAUAAAUCGGGAGCGUGGGGAGGGGCGUUUGACUGAUUGCUGGAUGGACCAGCCUAAGAGCCCCGCAGAGGCCUCUUGA
RNAcentral lists this long non-coding RNA (393 nucleotides) under Bos indicus x Bos taurus (hybrid cattle). RNAcentral describes it as "lncRNA (ENSBIXG00005014232.1)". Lineage: Eukaryota; Metazoa; Chordata; Mammalia; Artiodactyla; Bovidae. The record is from RNAcentral.